CACUCCCACUGCCACUACCAUACCCACCGACGUGCAACCAUACCUCCUCUUUUUCUCCCUCUCUUUUCUUCUCUUCCCCACCGCAGAUUGACCUUCUCCCCAUUUCUUCUUCUUUUCCUCUCACACCUUUCUCAUCCUCCAGCGAAGAGCAGAGCAGGCAGCCUUGCUGCCUUUUUCUCCAGCCACCAGCCCUUGCGGAGCUCCUUGGAGUGUGCCGGAGCUCGCCAGACCACCAAAAAAGAGGCGAAAACAAAGCCUUAGUUGCUGCCCUCUUUUCUAGCCAAGCACAGCAGCCGCCGGAGCUAGCUGUGGCCUUCGCUGGAGCUCGCCGAGACAACCGGUGAAAAAGGGCAAAGCAGCCCUAGUUGCUGUCCUUUUCUUGGCAGCACUGCCGGAGUUCACUGGAGCUCGGCGGAGCUAGCUGAGACGACCAACAACGAAGGGGAAAAAUAUCCUAGUUGCUGCCCUCUUUUCCAGCAACCACAGUAAUCCAUAGAAGAUACAAGUUUGGGGGGAGCACGGUGACUUGCCGACACUCGAAGUUUUUGCUGUACAUAAAAUACACAAUUGAAGAAAACAAAUCAGAUGCUUCAGAAGACAAGAAGCAAAUUAUAAUUACUGAUGAAAAUCUCCAAACAGAAAGCACACGUACUUGAAACUGCUUUGUUGCCCAUGAAAAUUCCUGAAAAGAUCUCGUGUGCAAUAUCUUUGAUGAAGUUGGAAACUGGAUUGUCUCAACAUGUUGUACAAGCCUCAAACUACCUUCAAGAUACAUUAGACCACAUGCCAACCAGUUAAACAUCUUUACCUACAUAAUGUCAAUCUACACAUUAUCAAGUAAUAAACUUAAUUAUCAAAGUUAAGUGAUGCAAUAAUUAGACUUUCCAAUUAAAACUAGACCUAAGUUGGUAAAAUUUUAUUUUUAGUUAGCAUAACAAAUUAGGAAUUUCUUUAUUUAAUGAAAAGUUUGGUCAAGUUAUUGAAGGAAUCAAUUAACUAAUAAUAUGUUUUAUUGAGAAUUAAUCAUGGUUAGUGCUUUUAAAGAGGUGUCCAUCCCUUUUGUUAUUUCAUCUUUUAUCCUUAUAAAAUUUCAUUUUUCCUUUGUGAGUUUUGUUUGUCUCGGUGUUGAAUCAAAUGUUAUCAAAGUCAAAGUUAAUAUGACAAUUGAUACAUGUAAACGAGAAGCAAUUUUUCUGCUCAUCCUAAUUUAUUCCUUGAUAAUGAAACUGCCUAAAUGUGGUUCUCACAAACCAAUUUGUCUUCGCUUCAUGCCAGUGAUGAUCUGGCAGCCAUUAUGCAUUGCCUACUGACGAGUCCCUCUUAAACACCGGCUGCAAUCACGUGUUAUCGUCCAGCCCACUAACACCAUCCCCCCCUGUUGCUGUAUAACAGGCACAUUCUUAGCCUCCCACCCCACCCCACCC
Long non-coding RNA from Zingiber officinale, 1424 nucleotides. RefSeq lists it as uncharacterized. The record is from RefSeq and is a predicted model, not a curated record. NCBI's taxonomy places the organism in Eukaryota, Viridiplantae, Streptophyta, Magnoliopsida, Zingiberales, Zingiberaceae. The transcript is spliced from 4 exons.